GACUAGCAAGUACAUGUCUUUAAUUUAAUUAAUAUGGAAAGCUCAGACCGGGGGCAUUAGCGUAAAUAUCAGCAUGUUUGGUGUCGAAAGCAUCGUAAGGCCCAAGGGUAAAUCCAAUGGGCCCGGGUCCAGUUACUGUUGGCCCAAUAGUAGUUUGGUCCAUGGACAUUAUUUGAGUAGCAUAUUUUGCAACAGUGUUUUUCAGUUCCUCCAACGAAAACAUCAGAUGCUGUAACUCUUGCAAUCCAAGUUCGUUAACGGGGAUCUCCCACCAGAAUUGGCUCUGUCUCGUUUUCCACGCUCGAUCUAGCUCUUCUCCUCGCCUUUUCUCCAUCUCUAGCUCGUUAACAAUCUGAGUGAGUUGCGCGUUGAGAUUACGAAUAUUAGCACUGCGAUGAGCCUCAACGAGUUGGUGACCACCACCACUGCGAUUAUACUCUGGUGAUGAGUUUGAAGUUACGUAAGAAUCAACGACGGAUUCAACUUGCGGGUGGCCGAACGAAAAGGCCUUGUCCGCGGGAGAGAAAACGAUGAUUGCGAUUUCUACUCCACAGAGUGUGCAGAGCUCACUCGCUUUUUUGAAGAGUCCCGAACGACGCUUCGAAAAUGUUACUUGUGUUUGCGAUUUGGCGUUCUGGAGUUGGAGAACAUAAUGCACUAUUUAUAUUUCACGUUUAAGGUGUGCCAACUCACAAACUUAACUCUCCUAUCAUAAUGCUUUAUUACUCUUUAUAAAAACUCCAGGAUUAGCAAGUUAUCAAAUCCUAAAUCUUAAUGCUUCA
Molecule: long non-coding RNA, 782 nt
Organism: Vigna angularis (adzuki bean)
Lineage: Eukaryota; Viridiplantae; Streptophyta; Magnoliopsida; Fabales; Fabaceae
Exons: 2
Source: RefSeq, a predicted model, not a curated record